RNAcentral lists this non-coding RNA (28 nucleotides) under Bombyx mori (domestic silkworm). Lineage: Eukaryota; Metazoa; Arthropoda; Insecta; Lepidoptera; Bombycidae. The record is from RNAcentral.
UUAGAAAAUGCAUCUACGAUGGUCAGGA